Molecule: long non-coding RNA, 309 nt
Organism: Dermacentor andersoni
Lineage: Eukaryota; Metazoa; Arthropoda; Arachnida; Ixodida; Ixodidae
Source: RefSeq, a predicted model, not a curated record
UCGUCAGACACCGCCGAAGCCAGCGAGACCGGCAGCGCGUCUGAGCGUUGGCCUGUUCGGUGAACCGUCUGCCUGCGUUUCUAUUUUUGGAUUUAGCCUGGUUUGGUGGGCUCCCGGGGAAUUCUUGCGUUCCUUCGGAACUACGACAUGGUAUACAACUGCACUAUUGGACUACAGCAAGCUGACGUCGUCCGGUGGAGCUUCGUACAGGAACUACUGCUGCUUACCUGGUGCCACAACGUUGGAUGAAUGCACAAAAAGCUCGAAGCGAGCAGUUAUAUAUAAAAUAUAGGUUUCCUCGUUUCACAA